CAUGCAAGUCGAACGAAGUUUUUCCUUCGGGAGAAACUUAGUGGCGGACGGGUGAGUAACGCGUGGGUAACCUGCCCUGUACAGGGGGACAACAGCUGGAAACGGCUGCUAAUACCGCAUAAGCCCUUAGCACUGCAUGGUGCAUAGGGAAAAGGAGCAAUCCGGUACAGGAUGGACCCGCGUCUGAUUAGCCAGUUGGCAGGGUAACGGCCUACCAAAGCGACGAUCAGUAGCCGAUCUGAGAGGAUGUACGGCCACAUUGGGACUGAGACACGGCCCAGACUCCUACGGGAGGCAGCAGUGGGGAAUAUUGCACAAUGGAGGAAACUCUGAUGCAGCGACGCCGCGUGAGUGAGGAAGUAUUUCGGUAUGUAAAGCUCUAUCAGCAGGGAAGAAAAUGACGGUACCUGACUAAGAAGCACCGGCUAAAUACGUGCCAGCAGCCGCGGUAAUACGUAUGGUGCAAGCGUUAUCCGGAUUUACUGGGUGUAAAGGGA
RNAcentral lists this ribosomal RNA (497 nucleotides) under uncultured bacterium. Its description in RNAcentral is "bacterial SSU rRNA". It matches the Rfam family "Bacterial small subunit ribosomal RNA", at positions 54 to 568 of the family's 1533-position model. The record is from RNAcentral.